GGCUCCAGUGGAGAGAGGGGAGCAGAGCAGGUCUUCUGAGUCUAAAGCGCUGGCUGACUUCGAAGCUGCUGCUCUGCUUACCUCUCUCAGCUCGAGCC
Marchantia polymorpha subsp. ruderalis is the source of this 98-nucleotide non-coding RNA. Lineage: Eukaryota; Viridiplantae; Streptophyta; Marchantiopsida; Marchantiales; Marchantiaceae. The record is from the annotation of a GenBank genome assembly.